RNAcentral lists this long non-coding RNA (1311 nucleotides) under Brassica rapa (field mustard). Its description in RNAcentral is "long non-coding RNA (BRAP_LNC001556)". The record is from RNAcentral. Lineage: Eukaryota; Viridiplantae; Streptophyta; Magnoliopsida; Brassicales; Brassicaceae.
UUUUUCACACUAAAAGUUUCAUUCAACAUUGAAAUAUACAAAGGUGGAAUAGAUACAGACCGACAGUACAAAUGAAUAACUCCGGUAAAAGUAGCCGGCGAAAACAACAAGUUUUCCCAGAGACAUAAAAACCAUACACAUAAACCUUGAUUACAACAGACCCUAAUGAAGAACAAAGGAUAAUUCUAUUGAUGCCCAUAACCUAAAAUCGAAACAUGCAUGUAGUCAUCAAGAGAUUUUUUUGACGGAGAAGAAUCAAUGGACUCCAAUUGAUUAGUCCAAAGACUAGCGAAUCCUCCUAUAGUGAAUAAGCCCAAACAUAUUGAGAACAACAGCUUCGGAGACAGGCAACAUUGAACUACAAAAGUUCAUGAGAAAGAAACCGGACUCGGCGGAAACGAAGAGAUUUGAUUCGAACCACCAAACUGAAGCUUGAUUAAAGAUUAGAUCUCGAACAGAUCUAUAAGUUAAUGACAAGGAGCGAACUUUUCACCUCGGGAUUUCACCACUCACCAGAAGACGAGCAAGGCAGAAGAUCGAACCAGAGACGAAGCAAAGAAAUCUUGAGACCAACAUGCAAAUGAUCCGACAGAACCAGGGACCAAAUAGAACAUCGAAGGGUCAGUCAGAAAGCACAUGCAUCAAGGUGAUGAACAAAGGAAGAUCAAGAGCGAGCCCCAAUCACUCCAUAUAGGAAAAAGACUAGAACAAGAUCUAGAUUCAACCGUUGAGAGAGACAAGAGAACCAAAAGAGAUCUAACCCGACAAACACAAAAGAAAACAGAUCUGAAAGAACUAAACCGAACUCCGGCUCUAUGAGAGCAGCCGGAGCCGGAGAACAUAAGAACUGGUUGGGGUCUCUAGAGAGAAGGCAGAGGAUUUACAAAAAAAAAAAAAAACUUUUACAUUCCAAAUUUAAAGAUUUUAAAUUUUUUUAAAAUUUAAAAUCAAAACAAAAAAAAAUCACAGCUACAAUUAAAAAAUAAAAUCACAGCUACCAAUCAAACUCUAUAUUACAAUAACAUGCUUCUCUUUCUACUUGUCAAGUCAAAUUAUAUUCUUAUUUCUUUUUUUUUUUGUAAACUAAUUAUAUUAUAUUCUUAUUUCAGAUCAAGAAUCUCAAGUUCGUAGCUACUAAUGCAAUUUUGGAUACAAAAAAGAUGACAUGUCAAUACACGAAGAUGAAUUUUCAUAUUUUAUUUAAGAUUUGAAAACACGGUGUUUUAUUUAUUUUUUAAACGACAGAAUUAGUAUAUUUGUCUAACUAAUUUACUACUACCAUUUAAGGAAAAACACCCACUAGAAACUGGC